AACACAUGCAAGUCGAACGGAUUGUUCUCGUAGCUUGCUAUGAGAACAAUUAGUGGCAGACGGGUGAGUAAUGCAUAGGAAUCUACCUAGUAGUAUAGGAUAGCCACUAGAAGUGGUGGGUAAUACUGUAUAAUCCCUGCGGGGGAAAGAUUUAUCGCUACAUGAUGAGCCUAUGUUAGAUUAGCUAGUUGGGGGGGUAAUGGCCUACCAAGGCAGUGAUCUAUAGCUGGUCUGAGAGGAUGAUCAGCCACACUGGAACUGAGACACGGUCCAGACUCCUACGGGAGGCAGCAGUGGGGAAUAUUGGACAAUGGGCGCAAGCCU
Molecule: ribosomal RNA, 324 nt
Filed under: uncultured Anaplasma sp.
Lineage: Bacteria; Pseudomonadati; Pseudomonadota; Alphaproteobacteria; Rickettsiales; Anaplasmataceae
Description: bacterial SSU rRNA
Rfam family: Bacterial small subunit ribosomal RNA
Source: RNAcentral